RNAcentral lists this long non-coding RNA (1570 nucleotides) under Homo sapiens (human). RNAcentral describes it as "HSALNT0333501". The record is from RNAcentral. Lineage: Eukaryota; Metazoa; Chordata; Mammalia; Primates; Hominidae.
GACAACCUACUGGGGUCUCCUCCCACAGUGUUGAAGCUUUGUUUUUGUUGCUGUUUGCAAUAAAUUUUGUCAUGGCUGACUCUUUGGUCUAUACUGCGUUUAUACAUUGUAACACUCACCGGGAAGAUCUGUAGUCUCACUUCUGAAGCCAGCGAAGCCACGAGCCCACCGAGAGGAACGAACAACUCCAGAAGCGUCGCCUUAGCAGUUGUAACACUUGUCUGGAGAGUCUGCAGUUUCAUUUCUGAAGCCAGCGAGAUGAUGAGCCCACUGGAAGGAGGGAACAACUCCAGACGCCCUGCCUUAAGAGCUGUAAAACUCACCGCGAAGGUUUACGGCUUCACUCCUCAGCCAGGGAGACCACGAAUCCAUCAGAAGGAAGAAACUCCGAACACACCUAAACAUCAGCAGGAACAAACUCUGGACAUGCUGCCUUUAAGAACUGUAAUUUCGUGAGGGUCCGCGGCUCUGUUCUUGAAGUCAGUGAAACCAAGAACCCGCCAAUUCCGGACCCAGUGUUAUGCUGAAAUUUUCAGGGGCUGUCAGAUUUAUUCUCUUAACCACAUUUCUGAAUAUAUACAAAUACCACUAUUUCCCCAUAGCCCUUUAGCCCUUUGUACUUCAAAAUAUUUUGUUUAAUGUUUUUUCUUUUUUUUUUUUUUUUUGUUUUUUGGAGAUAGAGUUCUGUUCUGUAACUCAGGUGGGAGUGCAGUGGCCGGACUUCAGCUCACUGCAACCUGCACCUUCCGGUUUCAAGUGAUUCUUCUGUCUCAGCCUCCCGAGUAGCUGGGAUUUUAGGCACGUGCCACCACACCGGGCUGCUUUUUGUAUUAAAGGAGACGAGGUUUCAUGUUGGCCAGGCUAGUAUGGAACUCCUGCGUUAAGGCAAUCCACCUGCCUUGGGCUCCCAAAGUGCUAGGACUACAGGUGUGAGCCACUGUGUCCAUCCAUGUUUUAUUUUUUUCUUUGAAACAACAGUACAUAUAAUAGAGAUACAAUUAAUUGGGAUUAAAAAAGGAAAAUAAGACAGUAAAAACAGUCUGGAUUUCCAGUUUAGGGUUUUGCGUGUAAGUAGCUUGGAUGUUGCCACUUUGCUUUAACAACUGAGAAGCUGAAGGAAGUGAAAAAUCUAACUUUUUAGAUUCAUAAAAGAAGAUAGGUCACAGAGGAAACUGGUGCCCACCCCCCCCCCAAAUUGGAGAGACAGACAGAUAGACAUUGAAAAUCACAGCACACGAGCAGAAAUAUCUGUGGGAACCAUUGCAUAGAUAAGAAAACCUGAAUUCUAAUCAAUGAACUGCUGGAGGCUAGGUGUGGACAAGUCUGAGAGUUAAAAACUCCAGGGGGACCCAGUCACAGCAAGGCCCCAUGCUUUUGUGUAUUUUACUUACAGGAACUUGACCAGAUUCUUGCAGUAAAUAUUAGAGAAAAAUCCCCUUGUGCUUCCACAUGGGGAGAGGAAAAGGGACUAUUUUGAAUAGCACCUGUUUGUCUUAAUAAAUUCUGCCCUCAGGAGAAACUAAUCAGAGCCUAACCUGCUGUGGUUUUAUCAGCUCUUGGGGGAGGAAAA